UACGGGGGGGGCAAGCGUUGUUCGGAAUUACUGGGCGUAAAGGGCUCGUAGGCGGCCAACUAAGUCAGACGUGAAAUCCCUCGGCUUAACCGGGGAACUGCGUCUGAUACUGGAUGGCUUGAGUUUGGGAGAGGGAUGCGGAAUUCCAGGUGUAGCGGUGAAAUGCGUAGAUAUCUGGAGGAACCCCGGUGGCGAAGGCGGCAUCCUGGGCCAACACUGGCGCUGAGUGAGCGAAAGCCAGGGGAGCAAACGGG
This 254-nucleotide ribosomal RNA is filed under the name uncultured bacterium. RNAcentral describes it as "partial 16S ribosomal RNA". It matches the Rfam family "Bacterial small subunit ribosomal RNA", at positions 524 to 776 of the family's 1533-position model. The record is from RNAcentral.